This 424-nucleotide ribosomal RNA is filed under the name Funneliformis mosseae. Its description in RNAcentral is "eukaryotic LSU rRNA". It matches the Rfam family "Eukaryotic large subunit ribosomal RNA", at positions 348 to 637 of the family's 3401-position model. The record is from RNAcentral. Lineage: Eukaryota; Fungi; Glomeromycota; Glomeromycetes; Glomerales; Glomeraceae.
GUACCGUGAGGGAAAGAUGAAAAGAACUUUGAAAAGAGAGUUAAACAGUACGUGAAAUUGUUGAAAGGGAAACGAUUGAAGUCAGUCAUACCAACGGGAAAUCAACCUUUUGAGCUCGGUCUCGUGGGUUUUGAAGAGUUUCAAAGCCUUCGGAUUCGCGGGAUUGGGAUCUCUUGGCGUACUUUUUCGUACGGUUAGUCAACAUCGGUUUUGAAUGUCAUAAAAUGACUGGAGGAAUGUAGCUUCGAUCUCGUAUUGAAGUGUUAUAGCCUUUGGUAGAUGUGAUGUUUGAGACCGAGGAUUGCAACGGAUACCCUUCAGGGCUAUUCGUCUGAUCUCUGAUACGUUGCCUUGAUGUUGAAAGCUUGCUUAUGAUGUUAGGGUAUUACGGUCAAAAGGUUAGAACGAAUUACAUUCGUUAAGG